This 253-nucleotide ribosomal RNA is filed under the name uncultured bacterium. RNAcentral describes it as "partial 16S ribosomal RNA". It matches the Rfam family "Bacterial small subunit ribosomal RNA", at positions 524 to 776 of the family's 1533-position model. The record is from RNAcentral.
UACGGGGGGUGCAAGCGUUGUUCGGAAUUACUGGGCGUAAAGGGUUCGUAGGCGGCCAAUUAAGUCAGACGUGAAAUCCCUCAGCUUAACUGGGGAACUGCGUCUGAUACUGGAUGGCUUGGAUUCGGGAGAGGAAUGCGGAAUUCCAGGUGUAGCGGUGAAAUGCGUAGAUAUCUGGAGGAACACCGGUGGCGAAGGCGGCAUUCUGGACCGAUAUUGACGCUGAGGAGCGAAAGCCAGGGGAGCAAACGGG